This is a long non-coding RNA of Leopardus geoffroyi (Geoffroy's cat), 1990 nucleotides long. RefSeq lists it as uncharacterized. Lineage: Eukaryota; Metazoa; Chordata; Mammalia; Carnivora; Felidae. The record is from RefSeq and is a predicted model, not a curated record. The transcript has 5 exons.
AAAUCACUGGAAAGGUUAGAAGGACAAAGAGGGCAGUGUUGAAAGUAUCAUCCACAUGGAAUUGAAAUCACUAAGAAUUAAGACAAGCGUGUUGUUAGAGUGAGUCACAAACUAGAAUCUUUGAAACUUGAGGAGAAUGAAAAAGAGACUGGUAGAUGUUUACAGCAAGGAGAGGCAGGGGUGAUAAGAGACUAAUGAUAUAGAUUUAAAGCUGGAAAAUUUUAGAGAUAAUGGCUUAGAAGCAGCAAUGAGGAGCACUGAGGAAACCUAGUCUACUUUUAUCCUGGAUUCAGGAGGCAUGAGAGAGAUGACAGCUACUGUUUGAGACUACUCCAGUAGAAAAAGGCUCCUCUGGGAAGAACCAGGUUUCUGUACAGUAACUUUGGAAAAAAAGUUGAGAAUACAAGAGAUUCUAUUGGUAGUAGACCAUGGGGUGCAGAGAGCACAGUGGAGGUGUUUCAGGAUUGGGGGAACGGAGACAGAAGAGAUACAUAGCCUAUGAAAAUAAUGAAAGCCCCGUGUGUGAGGCACACACUAUUAGCGAUGGUAUUAGUCCUUUCCUCUGCCUGCCUCAGACUGACUUUUCCACAUAUUGGGGCUCUGCCUGCAGCAAGUAGUGUGUCCCAGUUCUCAGCUGUCUAAAAUGGAUCUAGCUCCUGGAACAGAGAGGAGAAGCAGGUAAUAAAGGAGCCCUCAGCCAAUAUUGCAAGAUUAGACAUAACUGUCAGUCAACUCUAACUGAUUGCCCUAACAGAGACUUCUCUGAUUUUCUCAUUCUGUUUGUAUUGAGACAUCUGGAUAGGACAGAAAAAUCACUGAAAAGUCCAUCUCAAUUGCAUAAUAAACCUGGCAAUGGCAAACUUCUGUCUCACUGCAGUAUCUAGCCCCUUUGGAUUGUGAGGGGUUUGUGUCAGUGAAUGGAGAGUCAACACCAUCAUUUCAACCAGAUCCUUCUCAAACCAGCCACUGCCAAAAAUUGCUUUUAAAAAGAAGAAAGAAGAAAACAAGAAAAUUCAUUUUUGUUAGGAUAGAUGAUAAAUGGCUCAUCUGACACAUGUGCACGUUGAUUCAUAGAAAACAUAAUUGUUUUUUUGCUGUUAUCACGGCCUUCUUGGUGGAGCUGUUGUUUUGCAGAAAUCAGUGGCCUGAAGGGGAGUGUGUGUGUGUGUGUGUGUGUGUGUGUGUGUGUGUGUGAAAAAUUCCUGUUCUGCAGCAGGAUAUAAGUAGAGCAUGCCCUAAUGGAUUCAGAGGCAUUCUACACUGGAGUUACAGCUCAGUCUUCACAGCUGAACUUUUAUUUUUCAGAACAUAGUUCUUCAGCCAUAAGGCAUUUGGCAAUUUUCACCAAUAAAAAAAUAAAUUGCAUAAAAGGGAGUUGGGGUUGAACCCGCCUAUCACCUUUUAUGUGAAUUUUCUCUUUCUAUUCUCUCAGCGCAUGUCUGCCAGCAUUUACAUUCCUGAAAUAAUUUAUGUGGGGAUAGAAGAAAAACAGAAAAGAAAACAACUUCCUCAAACUACUCUACAAGGAGAACAUUUGGAAGAUCAUGUAGGGAAGCACUGGAACCAUUUUAUCAGAGUGACAGGUCGAUGGAAUAGUGAUGCAGUGGUAAAAUUAAAGGUUAUGACAACUGAAAUAAUUUGUAUGAAGAUAAAAUGUGGUUUUGUUCACAAACAGGAAUUCGCCGUGAACUUUUCAGUCUCCACUUGAUCUUAGCCAAAAGGCCAAGAAGUGAUAACACUUUUCAGUCUCAAUAUAGGUUUGGCAAAUUGAUUUUCCCCCCAGCAACAUAAUACUCAGAGAUCCCGAAAGAAUGGCUCUAUAUUGGCAGAAUUUUGGAGUCAUUGCAAGCUUCUUGGGGGUGUGGAGAUUCAGCCACGCUUCCAUGAGACUACUGGUGACACUCCAUCUGUCAGAUCUCAAAUUGACAGAAGUGAUAAGGAGAAAGACAGAGCAUGAGCAGGGGAGAGGCAGACAAAGAAUCGGAAGCAG